Molecule: ribosomal RNA, 253 nt
Filed under: uncultured bacterium
Lineage: Bacteria
Description: partial 16S ribosomal RNA
Rfam family: Bacterial small subunit ribosomal RNA
Source: RNAcentral
UACGUAGGGUGCAAGCGUUGUCCGGAAUUAUUGGGCGUAAAGAGCUCGUAGGCGGUCUGUCACGUCGACUGUGAAAACCUGGGGCUCAACCCCGGGCCUGCAGCCGAUACGGGCAGACUAGAAUUCGGUAGGGGAGACUGGAAUUCCUGGUGUAGCGGUGAAAUGCGCAGAUAUCAGGAGGAACACCGGUGGCGAAGGCGGGUCUCUGGGCCGAUAUUGACGCUGAGGAGCGAAAGCGUGGGGAGCAAACAGG